RNAcentral lists this ribosomal RNA (1771 nucleotides) under marine metagenome. RNAcentral describes it as "bacterial LSU rRNA". It matches the Rfam family "Bacterial large subunit ribosomal RNA", at positions 350 to 2235 of the family's 2925-position model. The record is from RNAcentral.
ACUAACCAUAGAAGGUGAUAGUCCCGUAGGGGUAAUGCUUAAUGUUGUUCUUGAGUAGAGCGGGACACGUGUAAUCUUGUUUGAAUAUAGGGGGACCACCCUCUAAGCCUAAAUACUCUUCAGUGACCGAUAGUGAACUAGUACCGUGAGGGAAAGGUGAAAAGAACCCCUAUUAGGGGAGUGAAAUAGAACCUGAAACCGUAUGCCUACAAACAGUCGAAGCUCUUUUUAGAGUGACGGCGUACCUUUUGUAUAAUGGGUCAGUGACUUAAUUUGUCCAGCAAGCUUAAGCCGUAAGGUGUAGGCGUAGCGAAAGCGAGUCUUAAAUGGGCGCAAGUUGUAUGAAUUAGACCCGAAAACGAAUGAGCUUACCAUGAGCAGGUUGAAAGCAGGGUAACACUUGCCGGAGGACCGAACCAGUUGACGUUGAAAAGUCUUUGGAUGACUUGUGGUAAGGGGUGAAAGGCCAACCAAAUUCGUAGAUAGCUGGUUUUCCGCGAAAACUAUUUAGGUAGUGCGUUGAGUAAAUUAAUGUUUGGAGGUAGAGCACUAAAGGGGCUAGGGGAGAGAAAUCUUUACCAACCCUCAUAAAACUCCGAAUGCCAAACAUUUUACCUCAGCAGACAGACUGUGGGUGCUAAGGUCCAUGGUCGAAAGGGAAAAAGCCCAGAUCACCAGAUAAGGUCCCUAAAUCAUGAUUAAGUGUGAAAGGAUGUGGAGAUUCCUAAACAGCCGGGAGGUUGGCUUAGAAGCAGCCAUCCUUUAAAGAUAGCGUAACAGCUCACCGGUCUAAUAGAGUUUCUGCGCCAAAGAUGUAACGGGGCUCAAAUCAUGUACCGAAUCUGUGGAUUUAUAAUUUCUUCGGAAAUUAUAUCUGGUAGCGGAACGUUCUGUAAGCCUGCAAAGGGAUACCCGUGAGGGAUCCUGGAGGUAUCAGAAGUGCGAAUGCUGACAUAAGUAACGAUUAACAGAGUGAAAAACUCUGUCGCCGAAAAUCCAAGGGUUCCUGCGCAAGGUUAAUCCGCGCAGGGUUAGUCGGUCCCUAAGUCGAGGGCGAGAGCCGUAGACGAUGGAAACAAGGUUAAUAUUCCUUGACCAGAUGGAAGUGACGGAUUACGUAAAUUGUUAACUCUUAAUGGAUUGAGUUAGCCGUGAAGUAGUCCCAGGAAAUAGCUCCAUCAUUAGACCGUACCCGAAACCGACACAGGUGGAUUAUUAGAGUAUAAUUAGGCGCUUGAGAGAAUGAUGUUGAAGGAACUCGGCAAAAUGCCUCCGUAACUUCGGAAGAAGGAGGACCCAUUUUCAGGCAACUUUAAGUGGGUGGCACAAGCUAGGGAGAUGCGACUGUUUAUCAAAAACACAGGGCUCUGCUAACACGUAAGUGGAUGUAUAGGGUCUGACGCCUGCCCGGUGCUGGAAGGUUAAUGCGAUCAGUGCAAGCUGAUUUCUGAAGCCCCAGUGAACGGCGGCCGUAACUAUAACGGUCCUAAGGUAGCGAAAUUCCUUGUCGGGUAAGUUCCGACCUGCAUGAAUGGCGUAACGAUAUCUCCGCUGUCUCCAACAUCAACUCAGUGAAAUUGAAUUCUCCGUGAAGAUGCGGAGUUCCCGUGGUUAGACGGAAAGACCCCGUGCACCUUUACUACAACUUUAUAUUGGUGUUAGGAAUGAUAUGUUUAGCAUAGGAGGGAGACUUUGAUGUUUAAGCGUCAGCUUAAGCGGAGUCAUCAGUGAAAUACCUCUCUUAUUAUUCUUGACAUCUAACUGCAUGCCG